GAUGAACGCUGGCGGCGUGCUUAACACAUGCAAGUCGAACGAGAGAAGAUCGGUGCUUGCACAGAUCCGAUCGAGUGGCGGACGGGUGAGUAACGCGUGGGUAACCUGCCUCAUACAGGGGAAUAACAGUUGGAAACGGCUGCUAAAACCGCAUAAGCGCACAGUAUCGCAUGAUACAGUGUGAAAAACUCCGGUGGUAUGAGAUGGACCCGCGUCUGAUUAGCUAGUUGGUGAGGUAACGGCCCACCAAGGCAACGAUCAGUAGCCGGCCUGAGAGGGUGAACGGCCACAUUGGGACUGAGACACGGCCCAAACUCCUACGGGAGGCAGCAGUGGGGAAUAUUGCACAAUGGGGGAAACCCUGAUGCAGCGACGCCGCGUGAGUGACGACGGAUUUCGGUCUGUAAAGCCCUUUUGUCAGGGAAUAAAAAAAUGAAUGUACCUGAAGAAUAAGCACCGGCUAACUUCGUGCCAGCCGCCGCCGUAA
This 487-nucleotide ribosomal RNA is filed under the name uncultured bacterium. Its description in RNAcentral is "partial 16S ribosomal RNA". It matches the Rfam family "Bacterial small subunit ribosomal RNA", at positions 28 to 523 of the family's 1533-position model. The record is from RNAcentral.